CAUCAAGGUCGCAUGGCUACUUUAGGGGACUAAGAGAAAUACUAGUGAGAAUGAUAGGAACAGCCAACUAAGGAUUCAGAUUUUCAGAAGCAGUCUCGAAUCCAAAUAUUUUUUUGCCAGUUAAACUCAUAAGCACACUUAGGUUUGUCAGAACGUAGGUCCUAAAAAACAUAAAAACGAUAUGGGAAGGGGUGGAGUUUCACCGGGGCUCUUCUCUCAGGGAGCAGGAAAGUGUGGGAGCUCCCAGGGCUCAGGGUGACUGCACAACCAGAAGGCAGCUGGGUGCCUGCCAGGAGGCAAGGUGGGAGGCCGAUUCUGCCUGGGACUGCUAAUCUCACCAGAUCUAUGUCAGGCUAAAGUCUAGGCAGCUUGGUCUAACUUCUGGCCUUUCACCUGUUUUGCAAGGUUGCCCUGAAACAAAAGGACUUGGUUGGGUUCCCUGUACAUUGCACCAGACCCCAGAGUGACUCUACCCUACUGGAAGGAAGCUUGCCUCAUCCUAGAUGCUGGGCGGUGGUCCAGUGCUCUCAACUUAGGAAGGAGGCUGCUAUAUUCCAUCUCGGACACCAGGUGGCACCAAAGUAUAACCAUAACUCCAAAGAAACCGGCAGGAAAUGGACCUUGAGAGAGUCCUUGAACUAUUUUCCUCUCCCUCCCCACUCCCCACGUGGAAUUGAAAAAUAAGAAGCCUUUCAGAUAUGGUGGAUAACUCUCAUUCAAUAAAAACGCUUGAAUCUUUAAUCUUCCAGCUGAAGAUUCCAAGGAUUUAAAUGCAGCCUCAGUCCUCACCCUUCUCGGAGACCUAUUUCUCAGCGGCAGAUAAGGAAAAUGGGACUUUCCUGGAAUCAUUUCAGAUGCCUCCACCCUCCAGAAGAGUUGUUUUUCUUCAAGGUGGUCAGCUGAGGAGUAGCAGACAUCAAACCUCGGCGGCUCUGCUCAAAUCCUGGGCCCCCUUCUGAAGGGCUGAGUGCUGUCAUGGGCAUGCUAGGAAUGACCAUGUCUAAACAAGUUGUGAUGUGGCCAACCAGCCUCAUGGCCUCUUACAGUCAAACAGGACUGCUUCCAGCCCCUCAGACACGCUCCAUAAAUCCCCAUUCCCAGGCUCCUCCACCUGGAAUUCUGUCCACUCUCAGCUGUUUUUAUCUGUCAGAUCCAAGGCACUUGUUGAGGUGCAGAUAGAGCUCCAUGAAGCCUUCCUUCACUUCCCCCAGUCUGAAGGGACCUCCACUUUUCUAAAUUACCAUAACAACUUGUGCCAUUUGCCCUAUUCUUCUACUUUAUGUUAUAGUUGUUUUUGAACAUGUCUCCCCUACAAAAUUAUGAGCUCCCCAAGGGCAAGGACCAUAUUUUAUGUAUCUUUUUUAUACCCUGUACUGAUGAACACAGUAGGCACUCAAUAAAUAAUGAUAAUAAUA
This is a long non-coding RNA of Aethalodelphis obliquidens (Pacific white-sided dolphin), 1415 nucleotides long. RefSeq lists it as uncharacterized. NCBI's taxonomy places the organism in Eukaryota, Metazoa, Chordata, Mammalia, Artiodactyla, Delphinidae. The record is from RefSeq and is a predicted model, not a curated record. The transcript is spliced from 2 exons.